CAGCAGCCGCGGUAAUACGUAGGUGGCAAGCGUUGUCCGGAAUUAUUGGGCGUAAAGCGCGCGCAGGCGGAUAGGUCAGUCUGUCUUAAAAGUUCGGGGCUUAACCCCGUGAUGAGAUGGAAACUGCCAAUCUAGAGUAUCGGAGAGGGAAGUGGAAUUCCUAGUGUAGCGGUGAAAUGCGUAGAUAUUAGGAAGAACACCAGUGGCGAAGGCGACUUUCUGGACGAAAACUGACGCUGAGGCGCGAAAGCCAGGGGAGCGAACGGGAUUAGAUACCCCUGUAGUCCCUGUCUCUUAUACC
RNAcentral lists this ribosomal RNA (301 nucleotides) under uncultured bacterium. Its description in RNAcentral is "partial 16S ribosomal RNA". It matches the Rfam family "Bacterial small subunit ribosomal RNA", at positions 509 to 808 of the family's 1533-position model. The record is from RNAcentral.